GUAGGUAGGCAUGAACUCAGAAAGGGACCUGGUUGCCAUUGUAAGGAACUGGGGUUUUGUUAUGAAGCUUACCAGGAGUUAUUGAGGGAUUCUAAUGACAGCUAUGAUGUGUUCAGUUUUGCCUUUUAGAAGCAUCGCUUUGGUGGCAGAGAGGAGAAUGGCUUGAAAAGGGUCAUAUUGGAAGCCAGAGGACCAGUUAGACAGCCACGGCAGGCCCCCGGUGAGAGGUGUGGGAAGCCUAAGAUAAGGUGCUAGCAGUGUGGGUCCAAGGGCGUAUUCAGGAGAGUGAACUGGAAGAGACCUAUAAUCAGUCAGAUGUGGGAGGUGGAGCGUCUGGAGUGACCAUCAGGAUUCUGACUGGGGAAUUUGAGAAGAUGGUUGACACUUCUCAUCAAAAGAAGGAAAAUGUAAAGGAGGUGGACUCUGAGGAAAAGAUGAGAACCAGAGACCGCUCUCCAUCUCUCCCGUUCUCUCUCUGGUGUGACAUCUCAGAAGGGAUUGUAUAACAAAUAGUAGAAAUUCAGUAUAUGAAAGAUCACCGUUGGAACAUAAUUCUUACCUUUGAGCCAAAAGAAUAGUUAUAUAAACACAAGUUUCCUCUGUCUUCUCUCUCAUGUAUGCACAGGUGUGUGAGAAUACACACACAUGCACACACGCUCUUGCUUAGGAAGAAGAAUCAGAUUCAGUUAUACUUUCAAUGACAUGCCCUUGAGAAAAGUCAUUUUUUUCAUGGAUUUUCCAUACACCAUCUGGGAUGCCCACACACUUCCUCGAGUGUGGAGAUGCUCUAUGUGGCAUUGGCACUUUUUUAGGGUGAAUAAUUUUGUAGGUCUGCUGUUUACAUCAGUGGUUUUGCUGUCCUAGUCUCAAAGAACUUUGGGUACAGAAUGUCUUUUCAAGUUCCUGUUCUUAAAAGGCUUGACAUCAGUCCUUCCUGGAAGGGGAGCCUUCAAAACAGGGAGUUCAGCUGAAUUAUUUUAGCUGGCUAAGUUUUUUUUUUUUUUUUUUUUUUUUUUUUUGUAUUUUGGUAAACUUCCAUGAACACAUUUGGAUUCCCACAAACUCAUACAUUUAUGUCUUCACAGUUCUAUAUUUUAACAAGGUCUACAAUGACUUACUAUCCUCUUCAUUGAGUUAUUUUUAUUGUCAGUCACUUCUUAGACAUGUCAUGGUUCCAGACAUGUCACACUCCUGAUGGCUAGCCCUGCCCCAGUUUGUAGGUACCUCUUACUUGCCGCAUGUGCUGUGGCUUCCACAACCGGCUGGUGCGCAGGGUGCGGCUGGCCAACUGAGGCCGGACUGGACCCCCUUACAUCCUGGCCAUGGAGCUCUGAUGUAAGUUUGUGUGUUGACUCAUCUUGAGCACAAAGAUGACUAGAACUGCAGAGUCUUUGCAUAGAUGUGGCUUUUUAGUCAAAUCUUCUGCAUCCAGAUGAAUUUUGAUUCCAGGAACUCAACUUUACACUUGUCUGUAGACUUGGUGUAUGGAUCUAGCCUGUGGUUUAUAAAGACAGCAUGAGGUAAAAUAUGAGGCACAAUAAUAAAUACAACUAAGCUUAUAACUUACUAGAUUAAAUUAUACCCAAUAUUUAGCAUAUUAUGUAUUAAACAUGCAUUAAAUUGAAUAUAUUAGAUACUUAUAAUAAAUAUAAAAUAAUAAUAAUAGUAAGAGUCAAGACUAAAGUGAGACACAUUCCACUACACAUAUGCAUGUGUGUGUGUGUGUGUGUGUGAUAUGCAUUUGUGUGCAUGUGCAUAUAUUUGGCAGUAGGCCAGGGUUUGGUGAGAAGGGGGACUGGGACAUUUUGCCCUGGGUAAGGAGAGUGGAAAAGCUACUGAGCUACUGAUCUGAGCUACUGACCUUGCUGGGCCAUGUGGUGCUGCUUAGAGCUCAACCUUGUGGCCCUGGGUAACUGUGAGCAGUGAGGGAGGUGGAGAAUGGAAGGGGCAGGGGGGAAGGAGGAACUUGGAAAGGGUCAGUGAGGUGUAGGGGAGCCCAAAGCAAAGACAAAGGUUUUGCAGAAGGUGCAGCGUCUGGUUCAGACUCAACCCCAGAUUCAUCCUGGGACGUCCCACAAGUCACUUAACCGCUGACUGCCAUGUCCCUCCCUGGUAGAAUUGGGACACUAGAGCGUGGCUGCAAGACUGAGAGAUGCCCUGUGCAGACUGCCAAACACUCAGCAGGUUCCCACUGCAAUAUGGCGGCCAAGAGCCGAGAGAGCCAGUACUCUGGAGCUCUGGAGCUCUGGAGUUCAGGGAGUGGUGGGUGUGAGGACCACUUGCCAGCUGCAUGACUUUGGGAAGCAGUUAACCUCCGUACACCUCAUUUGCUCAUCUGUAGAAUGGAAUGACCAGAGUGCUUCCAUUGCUGUGUUUUGAGGAGGCUAAAACAGUGAGACAGGGCCUCAAGAGUGCCUUGUCAAAUGCCACGUACAACCUCAAUGUGGGAAAAAUGUUAGCCAUUGCUAAUAAGUGAUGGCCAUCCGAGAUUUUCUCAUGUCCAAUAAUACUGUUUCUGACCUUUCCCAGGGCCACAGGAUGUUUUUAACAUGUAGAAAGUUCUUCAACUGUUUGUUUUCAGUUUUCUUUUUUGGUCCACUUGAACACAGACAUGCCUGUAGAAGAUGUUUAACUUGCAACUUGCACCCAACACAUCAGUCCAAAAAGGCAAUUUACGCGCAAAGACUCAAUCAUUCCACUGGCUACAUCCCUAAAAAUCUUUUCGCAGAAAACCCUGCAAAUAAAUCCAAGUGUAUCGCGAGUCAGAAAAUUGAGUUAUGUCGGUAGCCUGUGCCACCUUCAGUUGUAUUCUGAAGGGGAAGGGGCUUUGUGAGGUGGACCCAGAGUUCUCCUGGAGACACUCAUUCACUGGAACCAUCUGCGCAGAGGCCCCUUGUGGCUCCCAUGGAGAUGAAAUGCUGUCGAGAGCCAUAAUUCCCGCCAGCACGAAAUAGCGGCCAGUGCCCGCUGCAGACCUGAGGGAACCCUCAUUGCUCACUCUAGUUAUGUGGCUCUACACCGGGGCCACAUUGGGGAGGUAUUUUCACAUGGCAUACGAUCCUGCUGCUGCGGUCUCAGAGGCUUGAGACUGCUGUGUGUUCAGCUUUUGUGAUUUCCUCUUGUUGCAAUAGGUUAAUUCUGAAGCUCAGCCAUGGGUGUUUGGGAACAGGCUUCACAUUUUGUGUGUCAGUAUCUUUGCCAGGCUACCAAAGUGCUCUCAAGCUACGCAAUGUCAGAAGCCUGAUUGUAUUGGAGGUAGCAGGCUGGGGGACUGGGAUGGGUUGUUGAAUCACAGUGGGAGAGGGAUCUGGUUCAAGGCCUGAGACUUCAUUGUUCACUCAUCCAAUACUUGUGCCUUGUCUGUUACACACUGGGUGACAAACUCUAUGAGGGAUACGGUAAUAAAUACGAGCUUCUUCCUUCCCUCAAGGUGCUUCCAUUCUGGUGAGCCAGAGGGACAGAUAACUCAAAAGCGAUGGUGGAGUUAAGUUCAGGUGCUGUGGGUCCUUUGCCAGCCUAACGGGGACUGCGUCCUCAGAGGAGAUUUGGGGCUGAGGUUAGUUGGGUGUGAGAGCCCCUGGGGAGAGGAGAGUGGGGAGGGAACCCUGACAGAGCAAAUGGUGUGUUUGCCAGCCUGGGGCGGCGGGCGGGGGUGGGGAGUGGGGAGGAAGAGAGCAUCCUGAAUCAGGCUGAAUUGUUAGCAUUCAGUGUGUUUGUCUGAGCAUAGAUUUCACAUGGUGGGGGUUGGUGAGGUACAGGCCUGGAGAGAGAGGAAGGAUCUUAUCACGGCUUUUGAAAGUGAGACAAGAGUGUUAUUUUGUAGGGUGAUGCGGAUACGUUGAAGGGUUUUAAUCAGGGAUAAAAUAAUCAGACAUUUGCAAGGCCCCCUUCCAGAAUUCACUCAAGAGACCAAAUUACAGAUCUGAAGAUUGUUUGAUGAGUAGAAAAUUAGAGCAAAGGAGAAGAUGAUGUGAAGAAACGUCCCCAACCAAGGAGGCUGGCUGGAGGGUUUGUGUCUCUGUUGUCAGUCGUGGGAUGUUCUGUCCAAAGAACUGAUGCAGUCAGGCAAAACCCUUCCAGCUGUUGACAGCAGCCUCCUUUCUGGAUAAUUCCUGCCUCCAGGGCCUGUGCCAUUAUUGCAUCACUGUGCUCUGUUCCCAAGAUUAGUGCUUAUCUCACACCCAUCUCUUGUUAGAUUGGCAUUUUCCCAAUGAGCUGUCAGGCUCCAGUCAUUAGCGAUAUACCCAGAUUUUGUUUUUUUUUCCAGCGGGUUAUCAUAAGAAUGAUGGCAAGCUCAUGUUGUCUCACUUUGGGGACAGACGCUGUUUGUGGCCAGCAGCUCCUAGUGCACCAGAGAUUAGCCCCUGUAGAUUAGCAAUACGAACAAAAACAUAAUAAACGCAUGCACGCAUGCAUGAAUGAAUGAACGAAUGAAUGAGACCUGAUUGGAUGAGAAGCGGCAUGGUGGGGGUGAAACACUGGAAAAGUAAAGUAGAGGUAUUUAGGUUUGAUUUCUCCUCUUCCAUUUGCUGUGUGACUUUGGGUGGAUGAUGAGAUUUACUGGGGCUUUAGUUUUCUUGUGUAAAAUAUAGUUAAUGGGGCAGUCCUCAUACAGCUGCUGAUAAGACUGGAUGAGUUAAUGUCUUGGAAAAUACUUUGUAAAGUGUUACUUUAUCAUAUAAAAAUAAAGCCUGUAUUAAAGUGCUCACAUUUUUACAAAAAAAAAAAUUACCAGCCCUUUUUUAUUUUAAUCCUCAAAAGAAUCCUUUUUUUAUUCAUAAGAAAACUAAGAGGAAGUUGAGCUGCCCUGCUCAUGGCCCAGGAGCUGUGCAAAGAGACACAGAAGGUCUCCUAGGUCUGUGCUCUCACUGCUACACCCUUCAGCUUCUUAAUGCAAACCGAAGGCUCAUUUAAGUGGCUUCCACCACUAAAUCAAGAACUCUGUGUACUUUUCUCCCUUGGAAUUGGAAGUGCAGACACUCAAUUAUAACUUUUGAUUGCUUGAAAUUAUAGGGCUAUAGAGUUACUGGCACAUGUUUCUGAGGAAAAUCAUACUCCAAACCCUGCGAUAAUCAUCUCUGGUUUUUCGUAUUCAAGAUGGACGCAGGGAAUUUGGCACCAUUAGUCAUAAACUCGCAGUGUUUCCUGGGAUGACUUGAAGCCGACUCUUACAGACAUAGACAGGGGUUGUAUGUACGUAUGUACACGAUUGACUGAAAGCUCCAUGAAGGUACACCUGUGAUGUCCUGUUCAUCGCUGUCUUCCACAACCUAGCACAAAAAAUCAAUCCUUGAUGAAUGAAUGAAUGAAUGAAUGAAUGAGCUACAUUACCCUUUGCUAUAUCCCUUCUAUUGAGAAUGUGCUUGCCUAGAGAUUACCCUUUUAUUUUAUGAUAGACACGCUACACUGUAUUAAUUUGCUAGUGUUACCAUAACGAAGUUCCACAAACCAGUGGCUCAGACAACUGAAAUUUAUUGUCUCAGUUCUGGAGGUGACAAGUCCAAGAUUAAGGUGUCAGUAGGGAUGAUUCCUUCUAAAGCUGUGAAGAAGAACACGUUCCAUGCCUCUCUCCUAACUUCUUUCUGGUGGUUUACUGGCAUUCCUUUCUGUUAGAAGCAUCACUCGUAUCUUCUCUGUCUUCAUCUUCAUGGAAGAUUUCUCCCUCUAUGUGUGUCUAUAUCCAGAUUCCCAUUCUUUUUUCCUCUUUUUUUUCAGAUUCCCCUACUUAUGAGGACAUCAGUUGUAUUGGAGUAGAACCUACCCUGAUGAUUUCCUUUUAACUUGAUUACAUCUGCAAAGAUCCUAUAGCCAAAUAAGGUCACAUGAUGAGGUACUGGGGGUUAAGAUCCAAUAUACCUUUUUCCAGUGGGGGAGCAAUUCAACCUAUAACAAGCAUCAUGUUUUCUUGUUAUUUUUAUUUUGUUUUCUAUAAUUUUGUGAGUCCUGGCAAUGGAUAUUAAGUAUGUCAUUGGUAAAUCCCCCCCCCCAAAAAAAUUGACAAGAUAGGGAAAGACUAAAGAAGAUUGAUAAAAGGUUCAAUAACAUUAUCCUCAUCUCUACUCAUAGGGUAAACAAAACAGACCUAACUUGGGAUAUGGGAUGGGGUCUUACCACAGUCUGUGACAGCCUUCUGCUGAUGUGGCCUGUUCCUUGGGCUUCUGUUAUUCAAAUCAGCCUGUAAUACUGAUCCCAGUCCAGAUGACCACCUGGGCUUCACCCCAGUUAGUUACCAGUAGGCAUAUCUAGAAGAUCCAUCCCUCUUCCCCCCCCCCCCCCACCCCUUUGGUAGAGAUGGUUCUAGAAAGAAUGCAGAGCCCCAUGCUAUUUUUAUUUUGAAAUAGAAAAUAAGAUCUUUCGCUAUACCUGCUAGGUUUUUCUCUCUCAUUAGAGUGAAACAGAUCACUGCCUUGUGGAACAAGUGUUCUCUCAUAAAUGGCAGACAGAAGUUCAAUGGUAUCAGAUCAAUACCAAUUUCAUAUUUAGGCCUGGGGAUUAUUCCCUGACAAGGCAGAUGGGGCAGGGCAUUCUGUCUGCUGCUAGAAUUGUUAGCACAUGUCUUACAUGGGAGGCCAGAGGGCCGAAUGCUUCCCUAGACAGCAUCUUUAGGGUGCCGGGCUGAUGUCUCUGUCAAAAUAGAAAAUACUAAGAUCGCACCCAUGAGAAGGGAUUCUUUAUGCACGGAUUUUUUUCACUUGUAGAUUUUCAGUCUGAAACCCUAACCCAUGAAGAGGGAGAAGCUAAAAUAACUAGAGGCAGCAAGCCAACUCGGGAGAGGUGAUUAGACUCUGGGUGUCUUGUCCAAUGAGCGUUAGUGGGGCUGUCCCCAAGGCUGCUUUGAGGAAAAGGCUCUGGGUGCAGUGCAAGAUGAACUGGGGAUUGAGGGAAGAGGAAUGUGCAGGAAUUAAGGGCUACAUUUUUACCAAAUCACAUUUCCACCUGACAUUUCUACAAAGUUCUAUAUAAAUGGCUUUGGAUUUUUUCAACAGAGGUUUGAGAUAACAAUACUCAAAAUGAAUAUUUUUUUUUGUUUUUAGGCAUGUGGAUAGAAAUUAUUUCUUUCUUUCAGUCUGGCAUUGGUGAGCUCUGCUCCUGGCCAUGAAAUAGUUACCAGGCAGGACUGGGUUUUUGAGAGAGAGUCAUACGGGGCCUGGGGUGUGUUGAGAAAUAGCAGACUCCUGGGGGAUUGUUGGCUGAUGGAGGGUCGCCUGGGAAGCCUGCGUCCAGCUCUCAGGGGAGGCUUCCACUGAUUUAUUACAAGGAAUGGCUCGUGUGAUUAUGGAGGCUGAGAAGUUCCACAAUAUGUCAUCUGCAAGCCAGAGACCCGGGGAAGCUGGUGCUACAAGUCCUAGACUAAGGACAGAAGAACAGUGUCUAGCUCAAGGAGUCAGGCAGAGAGAGCAAAUUCUUCCUUCCUCUGUUCUUGUUCUAUUCAGGCCCUCUGCAUAUCGGAGGAUACCCACCUUCACUGUGGAGGGCAAUCUUCUUUACUCGGAUUAUGAAUUCAAAUGUCAAUCUCAUCUGGAAACACCCUCACAGACACAUCCAGAAGUCAUGUUUAACCAAAUAUCUGGCACACUAUGAUCCAGUCAGUUGACCCCAAAUUAACAUCACACCGUAGUAGAGGGGUGCUCUGCUGAUGACAAGUCAACUUUGCUGACCUGUUGUCCACAACUGCCCCUCCCCCUCUGACCCCAAUAGCAGUCUUAAGACUAUUUAGUUAUACAAAGACUCAAAAAAUGCACCAAAACUUGCUUGUCACAUUUGCUUCCAGUCAGAAUUCCCAGUUCCCCCCAAAUUCCCAUUUAUAAUUUAGUUGAUCUAAAAAUAAACCAUUACAGCAAGAAUUAGUCAUACAUACUAGGGUGUGAAUGGUUAUCUUAAUUUUCUUGAUAAUAUUUGCUAUAUAUUAUGGUCAAGAGAAAGGACUCAAGAGGGGUCAGGCUGCCCAGAUUUGAAUCUUGGGUUUUGCACUUACUACUUGUGAGACAUUCGACAAGUUAUUUAUCUUCUCUCUGUCUCAAUUUCCUCAUCUGUGGACUUCUCCGAUGAUAUUUGCUUGGGAGAUACUUUCGAGAAAGGGUCUUUGUCAAUGACAUCUCACCCAUUCCUAUGCCUCAUGCCCAAAGCUGCCUUCCUAGAAGAAUGUGGGUAUUCUAUUAACCUUAAGCACAUUGAGUGUGUCUACCUUGUGCCAGAUUAUGUUUCUUCCUCAUAUCUUACACCUAUCGUUUGACAUCCCUACUCUCUAAAUGGGAAAAUCUCAGCUCACAGAAGGCUAGUCCUUUGGGGAAUGUUAGAGCUGGUUUGCAGCAGCCCUGGGGUCCAAAUCCUGGCGCUAGAAUUCCAGAUCCAAUAUCCUACCCCUUGCGCCACCACCAGUCGUCCACAUGUAAGCGAUGGCUUAGUGCUGAGACACUGACAAGUGUUGUGAUGGCCCAGGACAGAGGGAGGAACCUGCACGCCGAUGGGUGCCACCUGGUUCCAUGUUUUGGGGUAGCUAGCUCUUCAGUCUUUAUGAACCUCAGUUUCCUCAGAUUUGUCAGACAUGCUACUAAUCUCCUCUAAAAGUAUACAUUUUAAGAAAGCAGUACCAGCGGAAAGUUUGUACUAAAACUUUGUACUAGCAUCAGUGACUUGCCAUAUAAGUACCUGGGUUGUUAUAGACAUUCCCCCGCGAGCCUCUUGGAGAUUUUUCCCUUUCUUCUUCAGCAUCUUUUGGCAUCUUCCCUACGCCCACCACGCACUGACAUUGUGAAGAGCUUUGAGACAUUUCGGAUGAGGCCUUUGUAUAUGAAAUUAAAUGUCAACCUGCUUGAGUUGCCUCCAAAUUUCCCCGGGAGACCUCUGCUGGCAUUUAAUUUCUGAUUAAUAUUAUCCUCUCUGAAACUUUUAAAACCCAAUAUGCUUUUCUUAAAAGUGGCUUUUUUUUUUUCAUUUUAAAAGAUACCUGGGAAGUUCAUGCUCAAGAACUUACUAUACGACCUGGAUCCAUGCACUCUUGAAGAGCCCCAGGUGCUGCGUGCAAGCAUGCUGUGUCCAUUUCUGCACUUGGUCUGGUGCACUGAUGUCAGCCAAUCGAAUGUCUGGUAGUGCUCAUGACCCUCCCCUUUAUGUGCUAUUAGAGAACCAGUGUCAUUUGCUUGCUUGAAGCUCUGGAAAGCUGGAAGCAUUUCCUAAGGUUGAGGCGUGUGACCUCUAAUCAACAUGCGGGAGAAAGCGGCAUGUUCUAACACACGGUUUCUGGCUGACCAUCUGUUCAGAGAGGAGGAUGCCUGUGAUCUGACUUCGCCUUUCAAAACUUAGUUUCAGAGGGAAGAUCUAAGGAGAAUUAAUGGUAAAAAAAAGGCGUGUAAGGGAUCAUAUUAAUCAGUUUGCAGUCACUCAAACUUCAAAAAAAUUUCCUUUGAAAACAACUAAUUUGCACAGCCUCUCGGCCUGUGAUGAUUCUCUAUGAGUUAUCGGCACGGAUUUCACAUCAGAAGCUGUAUGCUGCAAAAUAGAAGACCUUUAAACCUCUGUUCAGUUGGCUCUCGCGCACAGAGACUAAUUUCCCUCUCCCUUUACCUCCAUCCUGCCUCUUUGAAGAAAUUGUUGCAAGGAGCGAUUUUCUGCAUGACCUGUUUCAGGGUCACUUUAUGAAGACAACUUUCCCCAAAGCCCUUCCCCAGCGCUAUUUCAGGAACACUUCUUUCCCAGCCAGUGUGUUGUCAAGGUCACGUGCCUGACUCUUGUGCAGCUGCAACCAGUUCUCCCAGAUUCGCCCAAGGUGGGAGCAAGUCUUUACAGGAACGCAGAGCACAGGGCCAGGGAGGGGACAGCAGGGUACCGCCUGGCCUUGAGCCGGUGUGGCGGGGGCAUUGAAGGAGACAGCUCCCAAGACACGGUAACUGGCAUUCCGGUUCAUGCCCUUGGACCUACUGUCAGGACCGGGUGUGCGGAAGGGGUUUUAGAUACACAGACCAUUUGUUCUAAUUUAAUUCCUAUUUUAAACAUUUCAGUUGACCUAAAGGGACUCUUAAAAGUUUAUUUGGUGAAACUUGGCUUGCCCUAAACUGUAGAAGAAUCUUAACAGGAUCAUCAUUCCAUGGCCUCAAGAUGCUGACUCACUGAGAUUAUGACCAGAUUAAAAACAGCAAAAACAAAAACCAAGGAGGACUAAGUCUUUUGUGCCAUAUUUAAUCUUUGCAAAGCGGGGAAAAAUGCCUUCAAAUCAUGAUAUUCAAAAGCAUGGCCUGGUUGACACAGUUUGCAUCAGGGGAAAACAACGUGGGUUGUACGAGUCUGGGAUGUAUUAUGGUGAAGGCCUUUCCGAGCAAGGCCCCCCGACUCCACGAGGGUCUGCACUGGUUCCGGGGUUCCGGGCUCCGGAAAUGAUGAAGAGCAGCUUCUGAUUUCACAACUGGAUCUUUGCUUCCCCUCCCUUCCCAUGCAUAUCCUAUAUCGCAAGUUUAUUUAUAAAAUACCUCACAGUGGAGUAAUUCAAAGAUUGGUGGAUCUCAAGUGGCUAAGCUGGAACUGGUUAUCAGAGGAAAAACACAUACAGAUGUUCACCUGCUGGACUCACCCUGUUUCAUCGACCUGUUUGAUCUCAGGGGAGCUGCAACGCCAUUUAUUUCAGCCGGUAGGGGACAGAUCCUAAAGAUACUGAAACUGUUUUCUAUUGAGGAUAAACUCUGCACCGUGUUAUGGAUCCUCACCGUUUCUUCUUGAUAGUUGAGAAAACGAGGCCCGGAGUUGAGAAGUGAUUGUCAGGAGGUUACUCAGCUAGCUAAGAAUUUUAGCCAGAACAAAGAGCCCUAUCUUAUAUUCCUCCACUGACCCCUUCUUCCUCCCCUACCGACUUCCUUCUUGAGCCAUACUUGCUGAUGCUUCCAAAGUAGAAAUCCUUGCAACACCAUCUCUUCACUGCAUUUCCUCAUUGCUCAAGAUUUUUACAGAUUCAAGAUGUUCUUUGAAAAGAGAACUUUCCUGAAGUAAGCAAGAAUUCCAGUAAUGCCCCAAGGCAGACUUUUUUUUUUUCUUCCUUUUUGGCUUCAGCUUACCCCUGACUCAUGUCUCUUGAUAACUGAGUUCUUCUAUACCAAGAACUUUAAUGAUUUUCGUCACUGGCUCUUCAGCCGUUCUUUGGCCUGAUUUGUUCUGUUUUCUUGGGUGGUUGGCCAUGAAACUGGAACCUUGAGAAGGAGGAGGCAAGCUCUGCCGUUCACACUCUUCUCAGCCAGAGCUGAUGGUGGCCCACGGAUGUUGUAGCUUAAGAUGGUUUUCUUGGAUAGUACCUUAUGUAGAAUUUGUAGCAAUUUUAGAAUUUCUGAGCAAACCAUUGAAAAUGAUUUCCUCCCUUUGUGGCUUUCAAGAGCUGGUCUUAGCAGUAAGGUGACAGACUCCAUUGACAACUCAGUAGCCUUUGGAAACGAAUGCUCUGGAUGAUGACAGGUGCUUCCAAGGGUCUUCUGCACCUGACCUUAAAGGAAACAGUGGGAGCCCUAAUCCAACGUGACUGGUGUCCUUGUCAGGGGAGAAGGACACACACCAGGGGAAGGUCCCGUGAAGACACAGAAAGAACAUGAACCGUCUGUGAGCCCACAAGAGAGGCCUCACAAGAAGACAGAUGCCUUGAUGCUGGGCUUCCAGUCUCCGGAAGUGUGGCAAAACAACUGUGGCCUUGGAGGUUUGCUGUGACCACUAACAGGAGAAGAAAGACCCGGGCCUGGUUCCUGGACAGUGGGCUCCAUAUCGUGGUGCUAGAAGAGAAUGGAGUUCAGCCACACUGCGGCCUCACUCAGGGGCAGCCUGGGAGCUGGAUCAGCCACUUUGGAUGGAGUGGACGCGUUCCAGGUACUGGUAUGUUUGCAGACUUCUGGCCUGUGUCAGAUGGCUUGGCUGUUGCUCAGGGACCCAAAGGAAGAUGACAGGAUGCAUGUAAAUUUAGGAAGAGGGCGUCAGUGGUCUCAUGGCAGUGGGAACAUACGUGAGCACCUUGUGGAAUGCUAAGUAAUGGCACCGGCCACAAAGGUGACUGCUCCGUGGGUGUCAGCCAGCCUCUGUCCUUAGCCCCAGUGCCUUAGGACGGGCCGUGAAGAGAGUUGGUUAAGGUGUUGGGCGCGAAGGCCAAGUACAAGCUGUCGGCAUGUCUCCCACGCCAUGGCAGAUUUAGAUAACACCACCAUUGCUGCCCAACUUGUCAUCAGCGAAGUGACAUGGUGGCUUGUGUGGGGGCCAGCCACUUGGGGGCAGGUGCUGCUCAGCGGACCAGCUUUGCCCCAGGUGGGAUAAUCACGCUUACCCUGCCAGUAGAAUGGAAGGGUGUCCCGGAGGCGGGGCAAAGUCCAGUUCUGUGGCAGAGCCUUUAGGAUUGCAGUUGGGUCAAGGGGGGCUACGGACAGUAGGCCCAUGGGAGCCACUGCUCCGACUGGAUCUCUUUGUCCAGCCUCCGCUACAAAGACCUGACAGGCGGUGGUGGUAGCAGAUGUGGUGGCAGAAGUGACUCACUUUACUCAGCACCGUCCGUGGGAUCCAACCGUCCGUGGGAUCAAGUGCUCCUGUUAUGCCCAUUUACUGAGGAGGAUGUGGAGGCAGAGAGUCGUUAGGUAACUUGCCCAUGUUUAUUGACACCCCUGGAGAGACUGGAUUGGAAUCCAGCGUCGGCCUCCCGGCCGACUGCCUUCUGGUGUUGGUUCGCUCUGUGAGGUGUGUGUGGUCCCCGAGCCCUGCUGGAGGAAUUCUGCAGCUCCAGUUCUGGGCUCUGAGUUCUUGCUGUGGAUACACCACACUCUGUCCAUGCACUGUUUGACUGUUCUAGAACCCAGAUUCGGCGAAACUUCUAGAUCCUGCGAAUCACUCCGUAGACUGGUUUCCAAUCUCUGUUAGUGGCAGGUGCAGGCUGGUGUGUGCUUCCAAGGGAACAUUCAAGUAAUGAACAGAUAUUUUUAGCCAUUGGAGAGAAAUCUUCCCGCAAGAAGAAGGACCUCAGAUACCCCCGAUGAUGUCAACACUCCACAUGGCUCCUCCUCCUCCGGCUCACUCCAGGGAAAAACCCUGUGCCUCCAGCUUGUCCCUGGAAGGGCUUGAACUACACAUCUGGCACCAUGACUGUUCCAGCUCUUGUCUGACUUCCAACCCGCCAAUCUCUGAGGCUGACAUGCAGGCAAUUGCUUCUCCCCAGGAUCUACUGUGAAUAAAAGGGCAAGUUUUGAAUGGCCCAGCUCUUCCUUCUGGUUCCCCCCAGCUGCUCACUGAGUUAGUUUUCCUGUUCCUACAAAGGAGCCUGGCACCAUCGGGUAUACGGCAUCCCUUGCCCCGACUGGGAGCCUGGGGCGAGUUCCCCAGAGCUGUGUGCAAAGCAGGUGUGUGAGGUGUGCAAGGGGUGUGUGUGUGAGACAGACUCAGACCCAUGCCUUCCUAACAAGGAACUGCCGUCCACAAGUGGGGCUGUGUCUUCUGUCUCGCCCUUCCCCACUGUCUUUGCCAGGCCACCCUCCCCCUCUAGUUCAGAGGCCUAAUUCUGGUGCUCAGAACCCUAGUUUUGAAUCCAAAGCUCCCUUUACUGUUCUUUGCAGCUUUCUACUAAAAGUGGCAUUCAUGGAAAUCUUUCCUCUAACCCAAGGGGACAUUGUAGACCAGACCCCUAUCAUGACAUUUGUCACUCUUCCAAUAGCUUCAAAGGUAAAGCAAUCUCAUUAUAUACAUUAUCUGGGAUACAGAAAAUGCUGAGAACCCUCACUGGAAUAGGUCUUGCCCAGAUCGGAACAGGGCUGUGAAUUUAUUGCAGACACAUUUCCAGUGGCUUCCCUGCCAUGUUUUACCUUCGCCAAGUUUUAUUCUUACAUUAGUUAGUCAGGAAAUGACUGUUUCCAAGAAACUCUGACAACAUCCUGAGAAAGAGUGACUGAGUCAGAGUUUUGCAUAAUCAGGAAUCCUGAGGAAUGUGGAAGCCCAUGGACAGGAUGCAGCAAAAACACAAUUUGCUAAGUGGCUGUGCCUGGGUUUGAGGAAAGUACAACUUUCAAAAUGCUUCUCAUAAUUUGAAAAUAGGAUGGGAAAGAUAGGCUUUUGAUUUUGGACUACAAAUAGCUUUCUUUCAAGGAUCACUGUGGCUAGUGGUCAUCGGGACCUCUUCCCUUUGGUGGGGGUCCCAACCCCAACUUAGGCACAUUUGACCACUAGUGUCCAAGGAACAACAGAUAAGUGCCAUUCUGGAUUAAUUUUUGAUGCAUCUGUCCAAAGUAAAAAAUUAACCUGAAGCUGCUUUCCAGUGUUGCCAAAUUUGCUGCUUUUAGGAGAUUUGAAAUAGCUGCUUGAACCAGGAGGGAUUCUUAGAAGUGCUUCAACCUUUAGGCAGAAUGCUUAGAGUGUUUAAUGACAACCUCUAGAAAAUUCUGAGGGCCAAAGCUGAUGGCAAAUGUGGCCUGAGCUGGUUUCUCAAACUCUUCCCUGACUACGUGGGUAGCCAUCUGGAACAAGUGUGGGAACACAGAAGAAAUCCUUGGCCUUAUAGAGCCCACCCUUAGCUUCCUUGCUCCAACAUGCCUCCCUGUACAGAUGGAGAUUAUUUCAUUAGAGCAAAAUGCCAGAAUAGUAACAUUCUUUUUCUUUCCCAUGUUCUGUGAUACGAUUUUUUAUCUCUUUGCUGAAUUAAACCUUCAGUUCUGAGUGUGUCUUUGGAAAGCCUGCUCUCCUAGUAGGCUCUCACAUGUUCAAAGGUAGGUAAGUAGGUGAGGAAGGAGGAGUUGUACAGGGUGAGGGCCCAGCUGAUAUGCAUAAUCUCCCACAGACCUAGGAGACCUCAGGCAUGUUAGAAAGUCUAAGGAAACUUUUUUGUUCUUUGGCCAGCAUCAAUCAAAUUAUAGUUGGAGUGAUUUUCCAGCAUCUUGCACAAACUGGGAGCUAAUUUUGAAGCAUUUCCAUCUUUUAAUUUCUUCUUGCCCACCUCCUGUCCCAAAGGGGUAAAAAUGCUGGCAUGGUCAGAGACUAAGAGCAAGCCGAAGGCUAGGGCUGCAGAUAUGGGGCAGAGACCAAGCAAGGGAAGGGGAAGCUGCAGGAGAAAGCCAGUCAGGAGUGCACAGCCAACAGGGCUGCAGACUGUAGCCAUAGGGAGGGACAGAAAUCAAGUCCAAGUGGCAUCAGAGGAGAUUCGGCUUAGUGGGAGGCAGUGAGCAGUGUGGUGGCUGAGCCUGGCAGUAGGGUCAGAGCAACGCUUCUGGGGUAGAGGAAAAUCUUCCUGAAGUGUGGAAGUCCCUUGUUACAGUGGGUCCAGUCAGGGCAUUCCUUGAAUUAAGGGAAAAGAAUAAAUGGAACUCACAAGAUGAGGACGUGGGAAUGAGUCCGAAAAUCAGACUCCAGCCUACUGACUAGGGUUUCAGACACACAUAAACAGACCAUGUGCAUGGAGGACAAAGGGGCCCCCAAGUGACUGCCAUGUACGACACAGUUCAGGGAUGCAGAGCCAUUGUUCUCAGCUGUGGUCAGGUCCAAAGUCUGCUGGCUGGUGGGUACAGGGCUUGUGCUGUCCCCUGAGAUGCUGUAGGGUUGGGGAGAGACUGUGCAGAGUUGAUGGUAAACAUGACCUGUAGAGGAGCUGGUGUGGACCCAGGAGCUGAGCUUCACACAUCCACUUCUUGCCUUCUAGAAACCUGCCCUAGUAACAGUAGCUGUGCACCCUUUGUGCCGCUCCUCUGCCCGAGGUGGACAGUGCUCAUUGGUCACAGCAGCACAGCAGAGUGGUUAAGGGCACGUGUUCUGGAGUUAGGCCUGUGUCUCCAACAGCUUCUCCUCUAACAAUGCAUGGGUAAGUUACCUCAUAAAAUGAAGAGCCCUCAUCUGCAAAUAUUACCCAUCUCAAAAGUUUUUAGGAAGAGUGAAUGAAAUAAUUGUAUAAAAUAUUUAGCACAGGACCUGGCCCACUAUUUGCUCUUAAUAAACAGAAUCCCUGACAAUGAAAUAUUUAUGAAAUUAUGUGUGAAGUCAUUAAUAAUAAAAUCAUUACUAACAUUCUUCGUAUUUCCUACUGCUGAGUGAAGAAUUGGCUUUACCCAAAGGGAUGUCUGGCCUUUGUCCCUGGCUCCUGGGAGGUAACCUCUAAAUCCGUGGAAUUAUCCCAGGGAUUGGCACCUCUUCGUGAUUUGUGGUGGGCUGCUUGACCAGAUCUGAUAGCUCAUGCUUAGAUGACUCAGGGUGAGGAGCUGGCCAAACCAGAAAGAUCAAACAUGUGAUGUGAGGGGUGGCACUUUGGACAGCCACAUGGGACAUGGUUCAAUCAGUCAUGCCUGUGUAAUGAAACCCCAACACAGACUAUGGACACCGAGCUCAGGGGCCCCGAGGUGUUAAUGCUCUGUCUGCAUAUUUCCGUAGAUAGAUACUGAGAAGGUGUCCCGGAGGGCAUGGAACCUUCCUAUUCCCUGAUUCAACCCUAUGUGCUUAGUCCAUUUGGGCUGCUGUGACAAAACUACCACAAACUGGGUGGCUCAUAACAACAUAAAUUCAUUUCUCACAGUUCUGGAGGCUGGGAAAUCCAAGAUCAUGACACUGGCAGAUAUGGUAUGUAGGGAGAGCUUCCGGACCAUGGAUGUUCCACAUGUCCUUACGUGGUGGAAAGGGUGAGGGAACUCUCUGGGGCCUCUUUAUAAGAGCACUAAUCCCAUUCAUGAGAGUGCCACCCUCAUGAUCUUAUCACCUCCCCAAAGCCCUCCUCCUAAUAUCGUCUCACUAGGGGUUAAGUGUUAUACGAAUUUGGGAGACACAGACAUUCAGUCUGUAGUAGUGUCUCUUCCUUUAGCAGGCACUGAUUGUUAUGGAAAUACAAAGUGCUAUGGAAAGCCCCUGUGAUUGUAGCAUGGUGUUUUUCCUGAGUUCUGUGAGUCAUUCUAGCAAAUUUUCAAGUCUGAGAGAGUCCAUGGGCAUCCGUGAAUUUGUAGCUAGGUGAUCUGAAGGGAGGGUGUCCAUGGACAUCUGAGUACCGGUGGCUGGUGUCAGAAGUCUUGGACAGACCUGGCAGCCUGGAGCACAAUGCUCUUAACCUGGACUUUCAUUCCAGGUAUGUGCUGGUCUCACAGCCUCAGAGUCCUGCUUAACACAAGGCUCUGGGCAGCCAUUACAUCAUUUGAAUUGCAUUUGAGAAGUCUGUUUGCAGUCCUUGUCCUCUUCUAGCAUUCUUGUGCUUAAAGUCCUUCUAGAAAUGCCCACCUCCUAUUAAAUUACCCGCUGCAAUUAUUCACAUAUUCUAAAACCACAUCAUCACACUUGUGUGCAGUUGCAAACUUCCAGUUCCUUCGUGUACUUUCUGGAAACCCCAUAUUCCUUGUACAAUCCUAUGAAGCAUAUACUACCUUGUACAAAUAGGGCGUGCAAUGACAUUGAAUUGACUGCAUAACUAUUGACUCCACUUUUGUGAAGUGCAAGGCAUUGCUAAAUGGUCAUAUGGCCAAGCCAUAAACAUACAAGGGACAACAGUUCAUUCUGUGUCUCCGAGAACCGAAUUAUCUCACCCCUGCCCAGAGAGAACUUGCUUUCGUUGUGUCACUCUUGGCUCUCAGUUAAGCCCAUCGCUUUCUACAGAGUGAGUGCAGGGUAUCCUCCAUGGAAGAGAGGGGCACCUUUUAUUCAGAGCACCUCCUAUAUUUACUUCCAGCCUCCCCAUACUCUCUUGGUAUGUGCUUCGUUCUAGAUGGUGGGCAGUGAAGUCUUUAAUUACUGGCAUGCAGCCUUCAAGCUCUCUCCUGUCAUGCAGUUGAGGGGUCCAUGUGCUAGAGGUGGCGUAGUUCCCAGAUGGUGAAGCCACUGGUGUCCUGUGUCCCUGAGUAUUUGUGGAGCAGUGAUCCCACCCACACUUUUUGGACAUGUACUGUUAAUGAGAAAUUCAUCUUUGUUUUCCUCUUUAGUUUUGGUUUAUUUGUUUUGUUUCCACAGAAUGACCUAAUGUUAUCUUGAUCAAUGGACAGACUCACAGUUCAUGGUAAUGUGUCCAACCACACUGCAGCUACUAGCUGUGACUUGAAAGCAAAAGAAAACAGAGAUUAGCAUUUGUCCUGAGUGGUGGUAAAACCAAUAAUAAAGGAAAGAAGAGGCAAAAUUCAUAUAUUUUUGUUAUGCUUCUGUUAUUUCAUCUUUAAAUUGGAGAAAAAGCUGUUUAAAAUACUCGUUUUGCAAUAUAUACUUGGGAAGCUAGAUGUGGUAUAAAGCCAGGUUUCUCAAACCUGGCUUUAUUGAUAUUUGGGAUGGGUAAUUCUUUGUUAUAGAGGCUGUUGUUAUACACCGUCAGUGUUUAACAGCAUCCCUGGUCUCUACCCACCAGAUGACAAUAGCAUCACUCACUACCCCCUCCGAGUUGACAAUCACAGAUGUCUUCAGACAUUGCCAGUGGCCCCUGCUAUGCAAUGUCAUCCUCUGGUUGAGAACCACUGGCACAGAAGAAAGAAACUCUGGCUUAGAAUGGGAGGGCUUCUUAAGUUUAUUUCUGCCACUCACUAGCUCCCUGAUCCUGGGUAACCGAGGCCAUGGAGGCUCCAGUUUCCUCAUCUAUAAAACUGAAAUAAUAACCACUAUUCAGAGCAUUCAGAAAUUCAUGUACACAACACGUUCACUUUUUAAGCUGUAAGGCACUGUGCAUAUGGAAGUUAAACUCCUCAGGUUGCCAUUUAUUUUCUAUGUUGUGCACAAAAAAUGCUUUUAACAUAAGAAUGUGUACUUCGUGAUUUUCUUAUCCUCAUGAUUGAGGGAUGCUUCAUAGAUCAUCUUGGGCUGUCAGGUUCGUGUGGGAUACCUUCCUGCUUGACUUUCAUCCCCUCCCUUUUGAUGCCUGUGCCUGUCUUCAUAUUUCUCCCACCUGCUGGAUCUUGUCUUUGGUACCCAGAAUACCUUGAAGGUUUUCUACCCUUCACUCAUCUGAACCUUUCUUGCUCAAUCUAAAGGAACAUGUUUCCCCUCCUGCAAAAGCAUCAAACCUCAUUCCCUUCAGGUUUGGCUCCCGGCCACUGAAAGUGCUAGAUAGUAAUGUGAUGAACAGGUUGAAAGCUAAGACGGCGAGGCUGAUUGGCUUCUACAUCUCUCGAGCAUCAUCUCUCCACAGUUCCAUUCCAUUUACCCUUACCAACGUUACAAUUGCUUUGUGUCCUUGUCAGUGCUUGGCGUUACCAUUCUCUUCAGUUUCAGCAAUUCCGGUAGGUCUGUGUUGGUAUUUCAUUUUGGUUUUAAGAAGGCAUUCUCAGAGGUGUGUUCCCUGACCUAAAGAAAAGAGUAAUCCCUCGUUACAGGACAUGUUGAGAGACUAUAGCAUCGUGGACUUUCAGGAGACAGGAGGACACAUUUUUUGUGAACUUGCUACGUGUUAAACACAACAUGAGACAUUCCACCCAAAUGAUUACAUUUACUGCUUCCAACUGUUCUAUACAUGAAGCUUCACUUUUCCCCCUUUAUGGAUUAAAAAAACAGACUUUGGAAAUAUUUAAUAAUUUACCCCAAAUCUCAUAUUUAUGAAGUUUUGGCUCACGGCAUAUCAUGCAGAUGACUGCAGGUUCCUUCUCACAUUGGCACUGAUAUGGGGAAUUGCCUGUUUCUAUCACGGAGAGAGAAUAAAAUGCUGCCUGUGGAGAGAGGAGAAGUUCAGGGCAUUUCGAAGCCAUGUUGGGCUUUGCGUGGGAAAGGCAAGAAUUGGACCUGGCUGUCAAUGUGCUUGGGGCAUUUCUGGGCACACCUGUCCACGUUCCUUUGCAAAAACGCACACUCUGGCCGGAUGAGAAGACAGAGCCAUGCAGAGGGUCAGACAUCUUGCCCAAGGACUGAGCUGGAAACCCAGGCAUGUGAGGCACAUGAAACACCAUGUGUGUUACACAGCCUUCUGUGAGUAUGAAAUGUGGUUUUACAGACGGGUCUUCAGGGAUCAUGAGCGUGGGGCUGGAUGGUGUGAUUUCAGACCCUGGGCUCAGGGAGACUCCGUGAUGAAGCCUUGCUUGCCAGCUUUCACACGCUUUCCUUGUAACUUCUAACUGAACCAGAUAAAGCAGCCACAUUCUCUACUUCCUCUCCUCUCUGCUCUUCCCACUUCCUUCUCUUCUUAGUUUUUGGAUGGAAAUGGCAUUAUGGUUCAUGCACCUUUCUGUAGUGCAGAUAAAUCAGCUGGCCCUACCCAGAAAGCACUGCUCCACUGUGAGCCCGACUAUUCCUUUUGUUACAAAUGAAACAUUUUGAACAUACUCUGGGUUAUUGAUGCCCAUGUACCCAGUGCUGAGAUUUUUAACACAUGUGAAUAUUCUGCAGUAUUUGCCCUACAACUUUUAAAUUAAGAAAUGAGAUGUUUCAGGUCAGGUUGAGAGUAUACCAUCCACCCCAGAUCAACUUCACAAAACAAAACUUCUGAUUUCCCACCGAAUAUGUUCAUGCCUCAGACUCCUCCCUGUCAGUAAAAGGUGUUCACAUUCCCCCACCUGCUUAGCAUGAAGGAUCUUUCCCUGACUCCCGUCUUUCCUUCACGCCGCACCCCUGCAGUGCAUCAAUUGAUCCACGAUUUCUCCCAAAUACACAGUCUCCCUGUAUCCUCAUCUCCCUCCCAGGCUUUGGUGAUCAUCUCCCAGAUGGUCCCCCUGUUUCCCCCCAUCUUCUACAGUCAGUCUGUCACACCACAACCCAGUGAUUCCUAAAGAGCAAGUUAUAUCCAGUCACUGCCAGCUGUGGACUGAACAUUUGUGUCCCUAAAAUUCCUGUUAAAACCUAAUCCCCAGAGCGAGGUAGUAGGAGGCGGGGCCUUUGGGAAAGGCCUGGGCGGAGCCCAGGCAUGAGGCCAGGCUCGAGGCCAGGCUUCGAGCCCAGGCUCGAAGGCACGAGGGCAGAGCCUUCACGAAUGGGAUUAGGGCCCUAAUGAGAGAACCCACGGAGCUCCCUAGCUCCUUCCCCCGGGUGAGGACACAUCGAGAAGAUGGCCAUCUGGAAGGUGGGUUCUCACCAGACCCUGAAUCUGCUUGCACCUUGAUCUUGGACUUCCGGCCUCCAGAACUGUGAGAAAUAAAUGUCUGUUGUUUAUAAGUCGCCGAGUCUGUGGCAUUCUAUUAUAGUAGCCUGAACGGACUGAGACACUCCUCAUAUCGUAUUCAGAAAUGAUCCACAUUUGUCAUGGUGGCUGCCAGGGGCCAACACCAUCUGGGCUAUUGGUCUGUCUGGCCUCUUGCCUCCCUCCAGCUCUGGCCUGUCUGCUGCUCCUUGAGCACGACAAGCUCAUUCCUGCUCUGGGCUCUUCUUUCUGGAGAGCUUGUUCCCCGGAUCUUCACUGGCUCCUUCCCUUCCUUCCCUCAGAUCCCCACUCAAGGGCAUGUCCUCUGGGAGAUAUUCCCACACAGAUUCCCUGCAUCAGUACACUGCAUUCUCUCCUUCUGCUCCAUUUUUCCCAUUGUGUUUAUAAACAACUGAGAUCAUUACAUAUUCAUUGGUUUGUCUCUCUCACAUCCCUGGACUCGGAAUAUAAACUUCGUAAAUUUGUCUUGCUCUUCACAGCAUCCCUCAUACCUAUGUGUCUGGCACAGAGUAAAUCCUUAAUACGCACUUACUGAAUGGGUGACCAGAUCUCAUUAGCUUGCUUUCCUCCAAAAGUGGCUACUAUUUUUAAGUUGAUUGGUUUUAAGCCUACUUCCACAUUGCUAUAUUUAUCACAUAUUUAUGUACCCAUGUAGAUUUCGUGUAAACCUGAGUGCAAAAUUUUCACACAAAUGACAUCAUAUUGUACAUAUUGCUUUGCAACUUGACUUUUCUUUUCUGAUCCCAAAAUGUCUUUAGGAUUAAUCCAUGUUGACCCUUGUAGGUUUAGUUAUACAACAUAACUGUUGUGUAGUGUUCCACUGAAUGAAUAAAUGGUUUAUUUAUCCAUCCCCCUACUGAGUUAUAGUUAAGUUGUGUUUAUUUUGGAGGGAGGGGUCUCUCAUGCGCGUGGGUGAGAGUUCCUCUAGGUAAGACCCAUAGAAGUAGAACCAUUGGACCAGAGGUUAAAGGCAACUGCAACAUUGCUGGAUCUAUCAAGUGGCCAAAACUGUUGGUAUCAUUUUAUAAAGUGUAAUUCCAUUUCCCACAUCCUAAUCAACAUUUCUAGUUAUCAUAUUUAAAAAUUUUACAUAUCUGACAGGUGUCUUAUGUAUCUCAUUUUCAUCUUGCAUUUCCCCCAUUAUUACACUUGUGUCUUUCUCCUCCCCAUAUGCUUAUUGGUCAUUCAAGUUUCUUCCCUUCUAGGUUCCUUGUUCAUAUUUGUGCCUGUUUUGCUCUUGGGUUGUUUGUCCCUUAUUGGCUUGAAGGGGCUGUUUAUGAAUGCUCUAUAAAAAUACUUGGUGGUUUAUUCGCAUUGCAAAUAUCAUCUCACAAUCUGUGGGUUUCUUUUCAAUUUAUUUAUAGUGUCUUUUUUUCUGUAUGUGUCUCAAAUUUAAUGCAGUAUUGUCCUUCAUGUUUGACUUGUCUCUAUAUAUUUUAAAGAAAUCCUUCCUAGCUCUUAUAUUAUAAAAAUGUUCUCCUAUAUUUUCUUCUAAACUCUGAAGUUUGCUUUCUUUUCUUA
This is a long non-coding RNA of Acinonyx jubatus (cheetah), 22516 nucleotides long. RefSeq lists it as uncharacterized. The record is from RefSeq and is a predicted model, not a curated record. Lineage: Eukaryota; Metazoa; Chordata; Mammalia; Carnivora; Felidae. The transcript is spliced from 5 exons.